Molecule: long non-coding RNA, 5000 nt
Filed under: Daucus carota (carrot)
Lineage: Eukaryota; Viridiplantae; Streptophyta; Magnoliopsida; Apiales; Apiaceae
Description: long non-coding RNA (DCAR_LNC002575)
Source: RNAcentral
AUUCAAAAACCGUCUUCAGGCUGACAAACAAAGCCAUCGCGAAAGAGAAAGUUGAGAAUUAUGAGAAGGGGAAGUUCGACUUUGAGGGUGCUCAGGUGUUCAUGGUUCCUAUGGUAGGCCUAGUUAUCUGGAACUUAAUUUGUUUGAUAGGGGGCUUGUGGAGUGUUUUUGACAGGGGAAAUGCAAGUGAAAUGUUUGGACAACUUGUACUCUCAACUUUUCUUUUACUUGUUAGUUAUCCUAUUAUUGAAGGAAUUGUUACUAGGAAAGGUAAGGGAAAGAUGUGAGUGAAAGAAAACUGGAGAUUUAGAGACUCCACUGUAAUAAAUUUAGUGAUAUGGAAGUUUUGUAUCACAUAUUGAUUGAUCCGUUGUUAGUUAAAUCGGGUAUUGACCCAAUCUAUACUUUUUUAACGAUAAACUAUUAAAUAUUAUUACCGGAAAAAAUAAUCUCAAAUAUCACUUUGUAAUUCAAAACGAAAUAUGGCGUAGCGUGUAGCAUUCAUCCCUCUUUCAAUUCUUAAUGCGAGAUUGUAUAACGUUUUCAAGCUCUGAAACGUCAAAUCGUGUAACGUCUUGUAGUGAUUUUUAAUUUAAUCCCAACUCGAUGUAGCGUUUUUUUAUAAUAAUCAAAACGCUUCAAUGAAUCUCUAGCGUUAAUAAAUGAUACUUCAAACUAGGGUUGUGAAAAGGAUAAUUCGAAUACACAUAUGCCUAUAUCCGUAUCCAUAUCCGCAAUUGUCAGAUUCAGAUACAGAUAAUAUGUGCAGAUAAUAUGUGCUUUUCAGAUACGGAUAAUAUCCGCUUUUUUUUUUGGACAUGAAUGCGGAUAUUUCGGACGAAUGUUGGAUUUUUCUUAUCGACCAUACCGUUGUAUAUUUAUAUAUGUAUAAAGUAUUUGUACAAUUAUAUAAAAUUUAUAUAAAUGUAUUAUUUAAUACAUAUACACACACUGCAAGCUAAUAGAAUAAUUUUUUUAAUUAUAUGUUAUAUAAUUUAAAUAUCAUAUAUGUAUUUUAUUUCGGAUUCGAAUAUCACGAAUUCGAAUACGAAUAAUAUUCACUUUAUUUCGAAUACGGAUAAUAUCCGCUCUUUCUUAAAUAUGAAUGAAAAUUUUUCGAUUUUUUUGACAAUCCUACUUCAAACCAUCUUUAGAGGGGACUUGUAUUCUCUUGGUUACAGGUUCGACUUCCGAAGGGAGGAGAAUGUGUGAUUAUGACUCCUGGAUCAGAGCCUAUGUUGGGUCUUUUCUUCUGUACUAAUAAACAUAAAACUAACAAAUAUGCAAAUUUACGACCCAAGAAGACUAAAAGCAUGAAAAAACACAACUGAAGUGGCCAAGAGUCCAGGAGCUUCAGUUUUGCCUAAAGGUCUAAUUUUCGUGAUAUGUGUUAGUGUUAUAGAAGGUAAGUUCACAAAAAUUAAAUAAAAAUUAAUUUAUAGUACUUCUUGGGUGAUGAUUACGUGAAAAAAUCAUACAUUAUGGGUGAUCAUUUUAUAUAUACUAAAAUAAGAGGAGAAUGAAACACAUCCCUAAAUAAACUCUUAUAUUUUUGUAAUAAAUAUUGUCUGCACAAUCAUGUUGUUAAAGUAUAUAUGUUAUGUUUAAAAUUAGAUAUUAGAGUAAACCAAGGCUAUAGAAGGCCACCAUGAUUAUUUGCUCGAAGUGGGGAACAUUCUGCAGGGAUGCCCGGAAAUGCUCAAGGAUCGCAGCGAUGUGACGGUUAAGUUUGUUAAAAGGCAAGCGAACAAAGCAGCCCACCAGUUGGCUCGUUUUCCUUGUUCGUUAAAUUGCUACAAUGUUCUGUUGUCUCCUCCUACUAGUUUGUUGGAGACCCUUUUGUAUGACUCUUUACAUGCUUAAUGAAAUUGUUUCCGUGUGUUUCAAAAAAAAAAGUAGUCUAAGUGUGUGUUUGGGAAUGAGACUUCUGGGCUUAAAAGCCCAGAAGCCCAUUUCUUCUUUUUUAACCAACCGUUUGGCAAACAAACUGAAGCACUUAAAACUGUAAAAGAAGUCGGGGAAAAAAAAGCUACACAUCUUAGCUUUUAUAUGGAGCCAACUUAAACUUCUUCCGCUUCCUACUGCAUACUUCAUUCAGUGUUUGUGUUAUCUCCAACGAGAUCCUUGAAUAUAAUUUUUUUUUUCUAUUUAAACUCAUGUCUUUAAUUUUAUGUAAUUCUCAAAUAUAUUAGUAUUAUAUAUUAAUAUUUAUAUAAAUUUUUAAACACACUUAUAGAUCACUUAAAUGUGAGACAUUUUAGUCCAUUACAAAAUAUAGUUUCGAAUCAUAAUUUCACUUAUUUAAGUUAUUAAUUGUGAAUCUAUACUAUACUAUAAAAAGCCAACAUAGGUAUAAUUUGUAGUCGUAGAAAAUUUUGGUUUGGUACUCUACUCUAAAACUAAAAGUCUACAAGUAGAUAUCUAUUAAACAGUUUCAUAUACUAAAAACACUCCUUAUGUAUAUUAAUAUCUUUUUAAAUAUAAUUUAUACUUAGUUAAAAAAAAGGUGAAACUACUGUUAAUAACAUAUAUUAAUAUUAAAAAUUACUUAUAGAUAAACGUAUAACUAAUUAUAAAUAUACAAUUUUGAAUUUCUUUUGUCUAAAAUACAUAUAAAUAAUUAAACGCUACUUUUUAAUUAUAACGUAUUCUACUCGAAAUUUAACACUUACGUAUUCUAUUUCAUUACAAACACGAGCCAUUACGUAACAUAUGAAGAUAUAUGAAAUAUGAAAAUUUUGAUUUAAAUUGAAUAAUAAACUGUCACAUAUUAAUAUAGAAAAAUAUUUAUAGAUAGAUAAUAAAUUGUGAAAGCUAAAUUUCCGUUAGAAAAAGUAGAACAACCACAGCAGACUGUGCAACCGGUCACUAAUACCGCAACGAGUUGGUUAAUAUAAUUUAACUAAAAUCCAAUUCAUUAAUACUAAAAUACUAAUAAAAUGGUGUUAAGAAUUAAAUUAUAAUUAAUAAAUUACGAAUCAUAUACCCGCCCGUGCUUUGCACGGGGUUAAAGGCUAGUAAGUUAUAAUAAUAGAAGUUUGUUCAAAUCUUUUUGUUCAUUCCUAAAUUAUAUUUUUAAUAUAAUCCUAAGAAAUAAAUAAAUAAAAUUUAUAACAAAAUGAGAGACAAAGCAAACCAAAAACUUAUAUAAUAUAAAUAUUAAUCUAAUCUAAUAUUAUUAUCAACUUUUUCAAUUUAAUUCGUAAAUAUCAAAUAAUUAUAUUACAAAACUAUGAAACCGUACCAACUUAUAAGUUAAGUUAUCCAAACACUUAAAAAUUUAUAAGUCAUGGUAUCCAAACACUUAUAAUAACUUAUAAGUUCAACUCAGCUUCUUAUUUAUAAUCAACUUCUUUACUUUAAGCAAUAAGUGACUUCUUUUAAGUCAAGCCAAACGGCCCCUAAAUAUAUAUGGUUAAUUUAUCAUUUUAAAGUAGACUUCAUUAGAAAGUAGUGUAGGUGCAUUCUGCAGGAUAGCUAGACAUAUCACGCCAAGACUAGCAUCUGUUUUUGUUCCUUGUCAUUUUUGACUCUUACUGGUUACUCCCUCCGUUUCUUUUUUCUUUUCCUGUUUCUGAUGUCGGUACUAUUCAUAACAUGAGAUAAAUUACUUAUUUACAUCUAAUCUACAAAACUAAAGAUAGUCAUUAGUGAUCUUGUUAGAUUCGUAUUCACGAGUACUUUAAUACGGUGAAGUUUUUAUAUUUAAUGCUACUACGAAAUGAAAGAUAUUAACGAUCAAAAAUGUGUGUUGGCAAACGUGAAAAGUACAAACAGGAAAAGUAUUUAGAGACGGGAGUACUGUUAUGAUGUUUGGGUCUAUUUUAAUUUAAUAGAAUCUAUAUUUUUUUAAAGCAAUCUAAGAUUAAUGGAAGAUAACAAAAUGUGAUAGAAGAAAACCAGAGAUUAGGAUGUUAAUUGAUAUUUUUUUAAAAUUUUAAAUAAAAAUAUUUAUGUUAUAUUUUUAUCUAGAAAAAGGUUUACAAAAAUAUUAAUUUCUACAAUAUAGUCAAAACAUCUAAAUUUAGGUGUAAAAAAAUUAAACAAAUUAAUUUUUGUUAUAUAAUCAAAAUAACUAAAAUUAGGUUUUAAAAAUUUAAACGACUAUAUAAUGAUAAAAGAGAGUACUCCAUGUAGAGCUUGAUUUCCCGGCGCAGCUUGCAUAAUACUCUCUAGUCUCUUCCCUGUCCCCACCUAGGUUAUUAAUUUUUUACCGGUGUAAUCCUCUGUAUCUGUCACUCUGCACCAAAAUUUUCAAUUGAACUAUCGAGUCAAAAAUUUUCAUUUAAAUAAUAAAGCAUCUUAGAACUUUUAAUCAUAAGAUUAAGCAUAAAAAGAUUUCAGCACCGUUAAAUUUGUCUUUGACUUUAAUGAUUACCGUUAACUUUAACGGAAUCGUAUGUUUUUAUAUGUACCGGGCUGAUUGGAUUAUGUUGAUGGUUUGGAUGGAAAAAAAACAGAGUUAGGUGGCGAUUGAUGAUUCGGAGGAGCGGCAAUGGUGAAGGCUGCUAGUUUUCUGUUAAUAAUGAUGGUUUUCAGUAGGUAAACGAUGCAUGGUUUAUUGCAUUUCUAGCUCUAUGGCUAUCCUCACUUCUGCAACACAUGUACGAGGUUUUCAGCAGUGGAGGCACACUAAGAACAUGGUGGAAUGAGCAAAGAAUCUGGGUAAUAAAAGUAGUGGCUGGAAGCUUAUUCGGAUGCAUCGACUGCAUAAUGAAGAAGAUUGGCAAUUCAAAAACCGUCUUCAGGCUGACAAACAAAGCAAUCGCGAAAGAGAAAGUUGAGAAUUAUGAGAAGGGGAAAUUCGACUUUGAGGGUGCUCAAGUGUUCAUGGUUCCUAUGGUAGGACUGGUCAUUUGGAACUUGGUUUGUUUGAUAGGGGGCUUAUGGAGCAUCCUCGACAAGGGAAAUGUAAGUGAAAUGUUUGGACAACUUUUACUCUCAACUUUUCUUUUGCUUGUUAGUUAUCCUAUUAUUGAAGGAAUUGUUACUAGGAAAGG